CUAGGCCUAAUCCAAAUUGAACGUUAAUUUCGAUAAAGUUGUUGGUUUUCUCGUAAAACCACCUGUUAAAAAAACAACAAAAAAACAAACAAAGUGAUUCCCUUUUUAAAACUUAGUUUUGGGAUUUUUCUAAUUCCAAGUGUUUGCUACUCUAGUAGGUACUCUGGAUCCGUUUCAUCCAAAAAUCGAUUAAUUGAGUGGGAAACUAAUAUUUAUUCGAAAUUAGCUUCUCAUUUUGGUUGUAAUAGGUUAAGUUUUAUUGAAUUCCAAGUCAAAAUUGCCGAAUUUUUAUGCAAUAAGUCGGUCUUAAAAUGUCGGGCUUAAUUAAUAAAGUAAUACUAGAUAUCUUAUCAAUAGAUGGCUACACUGUUUAGUGGAUCGUCUGCAAUGGAAAUUCACCGCUCAUUAGAUGAAGCCUAGUGUUAGCUGUUAGGGAUUUGAGACGUGUUCAGCGAGGAGUUAAUGAAUGUUCAGUGCGUUCCGUUUUAAAUAUUCUUUUUGCUACUCGUCAAGACACGGAAAUUUGCCAUUUUUUCGUACCAACCUGAGGGACACUUUUGCACGACACACGAUUGUUUGAAAGUUGAUUUUUCACAAAACGUCAUUUGAAUGUGCAUUUCCUAUCUGCAGUCCCCAGUCCUACAGUGUGCAAAAAUAGGCAGUUGAAAAAGUCUGCUUAUUGUGCUAAUCUGCUCAAUGCCGGCAACAUGACUACACAGUAUAAAAAUACUCUUCCCUUAAGGAAAUUUGCAGCUGUGGACUUUCUUUAGAUGACUCUUUUAUCGGAAAUAUUUUCCUGCUUCUUGGAACAAGGAACAUAGGAUGUCUUGAUGCCAACCAAGUGUCAUUGGAAAGAUUUUAAAAAGUUGUUAAAGUAUUUGACAAAAGUGUAAUCAUGUUAAUAAAGGGAAUUUUUUGGUAUUCUUAAAUUAGCAGGAGAAACCUAAAGUUGGAGGAUGAAACAUUUGUCUCCUGUUGCUAGCUUUGUAAAACAAAUGGGGAGAUUGUUUCCAAAUCUUCAGCUUCCCAUGCAGACACCCAUCCACAAAGCCCUGGGUGAUAGAUGAUAUUCACAGCGUGCACGACUACGUUGUAAAUUGGUAUCACUUUUACAAAGCCAAACAGCAGAUUUAGAUCACGCGUCUACUGUGAAAGAGAUCAUGCUGUGUCUCAACGAAAAUGGCUCUCUCGACGAAAAUGCCGACUCGACGAUUUCCAUGCAAGAUUAAUGUUAAAAAUUCAAAGAGAUCUGAUGAGCAGGAUGCAACGUACUGUCAUGUCAAACCAUUAGCUGAAUACAAUGAAUACCAUUAGUUCCCCAGAACGAGAGGUUAAUAAUCAUGCUGAAUCAAAAGAGACAUCAAGUUAAACGAGAUUU
Molecule: long non-coding RNA, 1378 nt
Filed under: Daphnia magna
Lineage: Eukaryota; Metazoa; Arthropoda; Branchiopoda; Diplostraca; Daphniidae
Description: uncharacterized LOC116919896, transcript variant X2
Source: RNAcentral